GAUUGCAUAUCAAUAAGCGGAGGAAAAGAAACCAACAGGGAUUGCCUUAGUAGCGGCGAGUGAAGCGGCAAAAGCUCAAAUUUGAAAUCUGGCUCUUUCAGAGUCCGAGUUGUAAUUUGAAGAAGGUAUCUUUGGGUCUGGCUCUUGUCUAUGUUUCUUGGAACAGAACGUCACAGAGGGUGAGAAUCCCGUGCGAUGAGAUGAUCCAGGCCUAUGUAAAGUUCCUUCGAAGAGUCGAGUUGUUUGGGAAUGCAGCUCUAAGUGGGUGGUAAAUUCCAUCUAAAGCUAAAUAUUGGCGAGAGACCGAUAGCGAACAAGUACAGUGAUGGAAAGAUGAAAAGAACUUUGAAAAGAGAGUGAAAAAGUACGUGAAAUUGUUGAAAGGGAAGGGCUUGAGAUCAGACUUGGUAUUUUGUAUGUUACUUCUUCGGGGGUGGCCUCUACAGUUUAUCGGGCCAGUAUCAGUUUGGGCGGUAGGAGAAUUGCGUUGGAAUGUGGCACGGCUUCGGUUGUGUGUUAUAGCCUUCGUCGAUACUGCCAGCCUAGACUGAGGACUGCGGUUUAUACCUAGGAUGUUGGCAUAAUGAUCUUAAGUCGCCCGUCUUGAAACACGGACCAAU
RNAcentral lists this ribosomal RNA (620 nucleotides) under uncultured fungus. Its description in RNAcentral is "eukaryotic LSU rRNA". It matches the Rfam family "Eukaryotic large subunit ribosomal RNA", at positions 32 to 670 of the family's 3401-position model. The record is from RNAcentral. Lineage: Eukaryota; Fungi.